GACGAACGCUGGCGGCGUGCUUAACACAUGCAAGUCGAACGAGGUCCAACCGAUGGCAACAUCGGGAACGACCGAGUGGCGAACGGGUGCGUAACACGUGAGGAACCUACCCCGGACUCUGGGAUAACAGGUGGAAACACCUGCUAAUACCGGAUGCCGUCGGUCCAUCGCAUGGUGAACUGACGAAAGGAAUUCCGGUUCGGGACGGCCUCGCGGCCUAUCAGCUUGUUGGUGGGGUAAUGGCCUACCAAGGCAUCGACGGGUAGCUGGUCUGAGAGGAUGAUCAGCCACACUGGGACUGAGACACGGCCCAGACUCCUACGGGAGGCAG
RNAcentral lists this ribosomal RNA (331 nucleotides) under uncultured Actinomycetes bacterium. Its description in RNAcentral is "bacterial SSU rRNA". It matches the Rfam family "Bacterial small subunit ribosomal RNA", at positions 28 to 351 of the family's 1533-position model. Lineage: Bacteria; Bacillati; Actinomycetota; Actinomycetes. The record is from RNAcentral.